AGAUGUCAAAUGGAUAGGGGUUUUAUCUCGAAGUUAGAUCGUAAAAAUCGCCGAGAAGUCAGACAGAUACCCCUCACUGGCUCGAGAAAGUCACGUGAGGUCCAUAAAGUUAGUUUUAUGGUUUUGGGGAGUUGACACCGCGCGGUAUAUUUCACAUUCUCCAGAAUGUUAAGUGACACUUUAACUGCUCACUGUGGUGGGGAAGGGGGCAGAGGUAGGUGAGCGCUCUGUGAGCUUGGAGCAGCCGGAAAAGCCCAGGAAGGCAGUGGCCAGAGCCCAGGCCCAGUGCUCCACGCAAAUCUCCGCAGACCGGCUGUUGGGGGAAAAAAGUGUUAGCCGCCUCUCCCGGAUCUGCAAGGGGGAACAUUUUUGGAACCCUAAAGUUGAAAACUUUUUUCUCUCAGUUUGGAAGAAGCCUUUCGUCAUGAAUGGGACCAGCGAAGCCCAGGCACUCAGGCGAGAGCAGGCAAGAGGCACAGAAGGAGGGGAGAUUUCUCGCCUGCCGCUCGCGCUGAGGCUCGAUGUGAAUAUAUAUUAUGUCUGCCUGUUCUCCCCUCGUCGGUGGCUAAGGUAAGCCGGACUGAAAUAGGCUAUCAGUUUGUGAAUGGCGGAGAGUAUGUCUCAAUGAUUUAUGGCCCAUAUGACUCCAAUCUCGGUUCAAGAAGAGUUCACAAGCUUUAAGCUUCCUUCCACGCAGCGACUGACUCUCUCUCUCUCUCUCUCUCUCUCUCUCUCUC
Long non-coding RNA from Peromyscus eremicus (cactus mouse), 737 nucleotides. RefSeq lists it as uncharacterized. NCBI's taxonomy places the organism in Eukaryota, Metazoa, Chordata, Mammalia, Rodentia, Cricetidae. The record is from RefSeq and is a predicted model, not a curated record. The transcript is spliced from 3 exons.